RNAcentral lists this ribosomal RNA (628 nucleotides) under bacterium LA-SWA-1. RNAcentral's name for it is "bacterial SSU rRNA". It matches the Rfam family "Bacterial small subunit ribosomal RNA", at positions 50 to 657 of the family's 1533-position model. The record is from RNAcentral.
GCUAMMUGCAAGUCGAGCGGCAGCGACAUGAUAGAAGCUUCGGUGGAAAUCAUGGGCGGCGAGCGGCGGACGGGUGAGUAAUGCCUGGGAAUAUGCCUUGAUGUGGGGGAUAACUAUUGGAAACGAUAGCUAAUACCGCAUAAUGCCUUCGGGCCAAAGAGGGGGACCUUCGGGCCUCUCGCGUCAAGAUUAGCCCAGGUGGGAUUAGCUAGUUGGUGAGGUAAAGGCUCACCAAGGCGACGAUCCCUAGCUGGUCUGAGAGGAUGAUCAGCCACACUGGAACUGAGACACGGUCCAGACUCCUACGGGAGGCAGCAGUGGGGAAUAUUGCACAAUGGGCGCAAGCCUGAUGCAGCCAUGCCGCGUGUGUGAAGAAGGCCUUCGGGUUGUAAAGCACUUUCAGCAGUGAGGAAGGCGGGUACGUUAAUAGCGUAUUCGUUUGACGUUAGCUGCAGAAGAAGCACCGGCUAACUCCGUGCCAGCAGCCGCGGUAAUACGGAGGGUGCGAGCGUUAAUCGGAAUUACUGGGCGUAAAGCGCAUGCAGGUGGUUUGUUAAGUCAGAUGUGAAAGCCCGGGGCUCAACCUCGGAACAGCAUUUGAAACUGGCAGACUAGAGUACUGUAGAGG